This 1449-nucleotide long non-coding RNA is filed under the name Homo sapiens (human). Its description in RNAcentral is "HSALNT0338875". The record is from RNAcentral. Lineage: Eukaryota; Metazoa; Chordata; Mammalia; Primates; Hominidae.
UGGUUUGUGUGGCUUCAACCCCAAGCGUCCCAGUGAGGGCCCUGUCGCCUCCAGCUCCACAGGCCCAGCCCAACUCCUCGUCUGCCCCCAUUAGGCAUCUCUGUCCACAGGACUCCUCCCAGACGACGGCAGACACCUCCCUCGGCCUCACCUCCCAACCAGGGGUCACCAGCACUGAGGAUUCUGCCCCCUGCAGAGCCUGGAACGCGUCCCUUCCAGCCCUCUCCACCAGGCCUGCACUCAUCACCUGCAGGUGGGCCAAGCCCCGGCCUCCAGGGCCUCUCACACCCUUUCCUCCAUUACUGCCCCUCCAUCUGCCUGGUCACACCAGGUUCCAGAAAGAGCUCUUAAAGGGUCUCUGUCACACACAGAUCACAACCAAUCUGCCCAUCAUAGCUUUGCGGCCAGCAGCAUUUCAUCUUCCCUCCAGCUGUUCUCUUCCUCCCUGGAUCUUCUUUGCAAGGCCAUGGGGUCCAUGCCCCCCAACCAUGACUCCCUCCACCAUGCUGACCCCCGGCCAGGAUGUCCUGACCCCAGCUGAGAUGCCCAGACACCAGCAGAGAUGCCCUGACCCUCGCCCGCCAUUUCAGCUGUUGCUUUCUCAGCCAAGUCUCAAUCUUUGGAUGAACAGACAUUGAGUCCUUCCAGGUACUGACCAGGGUGCUGGACACCAGAAACCUAACGGGCGCUGAUGAAAUCUCCACUGUGACUUCACAGCAACCCCAACCCUUCCACACACCAGCACCUCUCAUCCCAGGAGAGCCUGGGCCCGGAACUGACACGGCUUCUGCUUCCUGGGAUCAAACAUGCCCCCAGCCCUCCAGGCAGCCACCAGGGCAGGUGCAGGUGGGCAGGCACCUAGACCCAACCCGGAGCUGAUGCCCCGUGCCCUCGGCCCCCACCCUGAGGGUCCUCUGAGAGCACCUGCCAGGGUUUCGCAGGAGACUGGAAUAAGAUCGGAAUAAUUCCAACAGAUGCUCCAACCAUCCCUCAUGGACCACACGCACUCUUGGAUGCUGAAGAGCAGGCUGGGGUCUGGGGCAGCCUUUAGGGGCUCUUGGGACCCCAAAGGUGUCCAGCUUGGAUGUCUCCAGCAGAUCUUUCUGGAAAUCUGGGACACCAAGGAGGAGCACAAAUGCUGGUCUUACUACUAAGCAAUAUGUCCCUCGGAUCCAAAGGAGAGCAGGUGACCUGGGUGCAGCCACAGCCAGCUGCCACCUCCCUGGAGUCCCUCAUGAAGCAAUGCAUUCAGGGCAGAAUCCAUUGCUGCCUCAGCCCCCUUCAAAGACCAGGCCCAACACCGCACCAGCUCCUUGGACACUGCCCAUCUUCCCAGGGAGAGUCUCGUGCUCAGAGAGGCUAUAAAUAUACGCCGGACAGUCAAGAGUUUCCGUCGCCAACAGAAGAGCUGAGCAAAAGGUGAAAUAAACAUCCCGUGGCUGCAAAUUA